GGUAGGAUGGCUGAGUAUUAAGCGGUGGAUUGUAGUCCCAUAAACAGAGGUGUAAAUCCUCUUUCUAUCA
This 70-nucleotide transfer RNA is filed under the name Stathmonotus gymnodermis. RNAcentral's name for it is "tRNA-Tyr". It matches the Rfam family "tRNA". From Rfam's summary of the family: Transfer RNA (tRNA) molecules are approximately 80 nucleotides in length. Their secondary structure includes four short double-helical elements and three loops (D, anti-codon, and T loops). Lineage: Eukaryota; Metazoa; Chordata; Actinopteri; Blenniiformes; Labrisomidae. The record is from RNAcentral.